RNAcentral lists this long non-coding RNA (379 nucleotides) under Nicotiana benthamiana. Its description in RNAcentral is "long non-coding RNA (NBEN_LNC012438)". The record is from RNAcentral. Lineage: Eukaryota; Viridiplantae; Streptophyta; Magnoliopsida; Solanales; Solanaceae.
CAGCAGGGAAGUUGCAUUGCAAGAUUGAUAAAGUGGCUGGAGUGUUGGAAACCAAUCGUCCUGAUGCAAAGAAUGCUCUUUACCAGGCAACUAUCAAGCAAGGGGACUUCUUGUUGAAUCGCAUUCAAAAGCUUUCUCGUGUCAUCGAUCUCUGAAUCAGUUAAACCAUCAAGUUUGAAAAUGUUUGGUGGCCUGUAAUUGUUUUUUUCUUCAAUCUCGCGUAACUCUAAUGAUCUCUGAAUCAGUUAAACCAUCAAGCUUGAAAAUGUUUGGUGGCCUGUAAUUGUUUUUUUCUUCAAUCUCGCCUAGCACUAAUCUGGAUGUGAUUUACCUGUUCAUUUCGAGCUCUCGGACUACCAUUUUGUAAUUUAUGAAAUCA